Molecule: ribosomal RNA, 475 nt
Filed under: uncultured Actinomycetes bacterium
Lineage: Bacteria; Bacillati; Actinomycetota; Actinomycetes
Description: bacterial SSU rRNA
Rfam family: Bacterial small subunit ribosomal RNA
Source: RNAcentral
CGGAGCAUGCGGCUUAAUUCGAACGCAACGCGAAGAACCUUACCAAGGCUUGACAUAUACAGGAAUACGGCAGAGAUGUCGUAGCCGCAAGGUCUGUAUACAGGUGGUGCAUGGUUGUCGUCAGCUCGUGUCGUGAGAUGUUGGGUUAAGUCCCGCAACGAGCGCAACCCUCGUUCUGUGUUGCCAGCAUUUAGUUGGGGACUCACAGGAGACUGCCGGGGUUAACUCGGAGGAAGGUGGGGAUGACGUCAAAUCAUCAUGCCCCUUAUGUCUUGGGCUGCACGCAUGCUACAAUGGCUGGUACAAACGGCUGCAAUACCGCAAGGUGGAGCGAAUCCGAGAAAGCCAGUCUCAGUUCGGAUUGGGGUCUGCAACUCGACCCCAUGAAGUCGGAGUUGCUAGUAAUCGUAGAUCAGCAACGCUACGGUGAAUACGUUCCCGGGGCUUGUACACACCGCCCGUCACAUCACGAAAG